This 433-nucleotide ribosomal RNA is filed under the name uncultured bacterium. Its description in RNAcentral is "partial 16S ribosomal RNA". It matches the Rfam family "Bacterial small subunit ribosomal RNA", at positions 29 to 507 of the family's 1533-position model. The record is from RNAcentral.
AACGAACGCUGGCGGCAUGCCUAACACAUGCAAGUCGAACGAGACCUUCGGGUCUAGUGGCGCACGGGUGCGUAACGCGUGGGAACCUGCCCUUAGGUUCGGAAUAACUCCCCGAAAGGGGUGCUAAUAUCGGAUAAUGUCUUCGGACCAAAGAUUUAUCGCCUUUGGAUGGGCCCGCGUUGGAUUAGCUAGUUGGUAGGGUAAAAGCCUACCAAGGCGACGAUCCAUAGCUGGUCUGAGACGAUGAUCAGCCACACUGGGACUGAGACACGGCCCAGACUCCUACGGGAGGCAGCAGUGGGGAAUAUUGGACAAUGGGCGAAAGCCUGAUCCAGCAAUGCCGCGUGAGUGAUGAAGGCCUUAGGGUUGUAAAGCUCUUUUACCCGGGAUGAUAAUGACAGUACCGGGAGAAUAAGCUCCGGCUAACUCCGUG